GUGGGGAAUAUUGGACAAUGGGCGCAAGCCUGAUCCAGCCAUGCCGCGUGCAGGAAGACGCAUCUAUGGUGUGUAAACUGCUUUUGUACGGGAAGAAACACUCCCUCGUGAGGGAGCUUGACGGUACCGUAAGAAUAAGGAUCGGCUAACUCCGUGCCAGCAGCCGCGGUAAUACGGAGGAUCCAAGCGUUAUCCGGAAUCAUUGGGUUUAAAGGGUCCGUAGGCGGUUUAAUAAGUCAGUGGUGAAAGCCCAUCGCUCAACGAUGGAACGGCCAUUGAUACUGUUAGACUUGAAUUACAAGGAAGUAACUAGAAUAUGUAGUGUAGCGGUGAAAUGCUUAGAUAUUACAUGGAAUACCAAUUGCGAAGGCAGGUUACUACUUGUGGAUUGACGCUGAUGGACGAAAGCGUGGGGAGCGAACAGGAUUAGAAACCCCAGUAGUCC
RNAcentral lists this ribosomal RNA (445 nucleotides) under uncultured bacterium. RNAcentral's name for it is "partial 16S ribosomal RNA". It matches the Rfam family "Bacterial small subunit ribosomal RNA", at positions 354 to 796 of the family's 1533-position model. The record is from RNAcentral.